GACGAACGCUGGCGGCGUGCUUAACACAUGCAAGUCGAACGGAAAGGCCCUGCUUUUGUGGGGUGCUCGAGUGGCGAACGGGUGAGUAACACGUGAGUAACCUGCCCUUGACUUUGGGAUAACUUCAGGAAACUGGGGCUAAUACCGGAUAGGAGCUCCUGCUGCAUGGUGGGGGUUGGAAAGUUUCGGCGGUUGGGGAUGGGCUCGCGGCUUAUCAGCUUGUUGGUGGGGUAGUGGCUUACCAAGGCUUUGACGGGUAGCCGGCCUGAGAGGGUGGCCGGCGACAUUGGGACUGAGAUACGGCCCAGACUCCUACGGGAGGCAGCAGUGGGGAAUAUUGCACAAUGGGCGGAAGCCUGAUGCAGCAACGCCGCGUGCGGGAUGACGGCCUUCGGGUUGUAAACCGCUUUCGCCUGUGACGAAGCGUGAGUGACGGUAAUGGGUAAAGAAGCACCGGCUAACUACGUG
RNAcentral lists this ribosomal RNA (468 nucleotides) under uncultured bacterium. RNAcentral's name for it is "partial 16S ribosomal RNA". It matches the Rfam family "Bacterial small subunit ribosomal RNA", at positions 28 to 507 of the family's 1533-position model. The record is from RNAcentral.